This 72-nucleotide transfer RNA is filed under the name Chloroflexota bacterium. RNAcentral's name for it is "Chloroflexi bacterium (groundwater metagenome) tRNA-Thr". It matches the Rfam family "tRNA". From Rfam's summary of the family: Transfer RNA (tRNA) molecules are approximately 80 nucleotides in length. Their secondary structure includes four short double-helical elements and three loops (D, anti-codon, and T loops). Lineage: Bacteria; Bacillati; Chloroflexota. The record is from RNAcentral.
GCCAGCGUAGCUCAGUGGUAGAGCAGCGGUUUCGUAAACCGCUUGUCGUAGGUUCGACUCCUAUCGCUGGCU